RNAcentral lists this ribosomal RNA (251 nucleotides) under uncultured prokaryote. Its description in RNAcentral is "partial 16S ribosomal RNA". It matches the Rfam family "Bacterial small subunit ribosomal RNA", at positions 524 to 774 of the family's 1533-position model. The record is from RNAcentral.
UACGGAGGAUGCAAGCGUUAUCCCGAUUUAUUGGGUUUAAAGGGUGCGCAGGUUGUUUGAUAAGUCAGUGGUGAAAGUCUGUCGCUUAACGGUAGGAUUGCCAUUGAUACUGUUGGACUUGAAUAUGGAUGAGGUAGGCGGAAUGUGUAGUGUAGCGGUGAAAUGCAUAGAUAUUACACAGAACACCGAUUGCGAAGGCAGCUUACUAAUCCAUCAUUGACGCUGAGGCACGAAAGUGUGGGGAUCAAACA